UUAAUCGUAGAGGAACAAUGUAUAUCAACUGACAAUAUGGAGAAAAAUUACAGACAUGCUUAAAUAAAACUAAUUGAGAAGUCUUGUAUUCAUAGACCACGUUUCAAACCAUUGAAGAGUCCUAAAAGAUAAGAAAAUCUGUUUAAAUUUGGUUACAAUUGUGCAUAGAAUUUCGAUCGAGAGAGGAUUUCCUUAUUCAACAUGGAUACAAUUUUCCUUUCAAAAUAAAAAUCAAAUAGGCAAUCUCACAAGAUUCCUAAUCAUAUUUGAGUCACAAAACCUAACAAUCUCCACCUUAACUUAAAUUCCGGUGCAACGAGUAGAGCUCCACAAAAUUUCUCCACCUGAGAAAUAAAUCUGUUUGCAUCAAAAUGAAAUGGCUAAUUUCCUCAACACAAUAACCAAAACUCUCCAUAUAAAUCAUCGUCUUCUACACGACGUCCACAAGCGACACUUGAACCCUACUCUCGAGUUUCCAAAAUUUCACCAUUGAAUUAAUGUUUAUUAAACAGGGUCGAAGCACACCCUGUAGAAGAAAUCAUACAAAAUGCCUGAACAGAAGGUCCCUUGUUAAAAUUAUCGCCUUCAAUGUCCUCAAAAGCAUUGCAGACAUAACUGACACCACGGUACCUAGGGAUGUCAAACGAGCCAAGCGGCUCGUUAAAACUCGCCUCGUGGAUGGCUUGGGCUUGUCAAUUGACGAGCUCGAGCCGAGCAGGGGGUUCAAUCCCACGAGCGGCUCAUGGGCCAUGUGUCCACGAGUCAUUUUUUACGAGGCUCGUGAGCUCGUCAAAAAAUAUGCAAAUUUUUUUUUUUAAAAAAAAGGUCAAAAAAUGUGCAAAUUUACCCCCAAAAAAUUAAUUUUUUUAAAAUCUUGAGCUCGCGAGCGGUUCGUCGGCUCGGCCUGUGUGCUUAUGGCUCGUGAGCUCACGAGCUCGUGGGUUAAAGGGCCAAGCUGAUUGCCAUCCCUAACAGUACCUACGCUCAAUAGAUCUAACCCUAGCAACUAAACACAGUGUAACCGCUGAAAUUGGUGGCAAAGCAGAAUCAUCAACGCUCUUUCGAACAAUGUUUUGAACCAAGCCAGAGCCCGUCAUAAGAGGUACUGUACCAAACUGAAUAUCCACCACGAUACUGAACUUAUCUAUAUGUUUCUUAAUUGGUUCUGCGCUCUCCUGCAAGAUGUACAACUGAGACAUUCUCCAUCCCUCCAAUACAAUCCGCACACCCUUUCGGAUCUUCAAGACUCCAUUUACACCUGAGAAUUUAUAUCCUUUUGCAUCUAGAGUACUAAACGAGAUGAGAUUCCUUUUCAGGUCUGAAACUUGUCGAAUCUGAUCAAUUGUUCUAAUUGUCCCAUCCCCCAGCCUAAAUCUUACUCGACCGAUCCCAAUAAUAGAGCAAAACUGGUUAUUUCGUAUUACAACUCUACCUCACUGAACAAUCUCAUAUGUCUGAAAGAGAUUCCGAUUGAAACAUAUAUGAUGCGAACAUGCCGAGUCAAGAAUCCACUCCUCGCCAGGCCUAGAUUUCACACCAGAUACCACGAUCAACAUCACAUCUCCGCCGUCUAAAAAAUCUUCAACUACAUUUGUUUCAUCUGAAGUCAAAGGUUGCGCUCCAUGAUUUGCAGUUAAAUCACCUUUAGCUUGCAACUUCUCUUAAUCCUUCCGAAUAUGUUCCUUACAUUUGCAGUAGAAACAAUACAAAUUGCUGUUAUUUUUCGAUCUGUCCCUCCGUCAACCACCAUGAGAUACAUGAACCUCCUCAUACGUUGAUACUCCAACCAAAUGCUUCAACUUCCCUUUGAGUGCAAAACAUCGUGAACGUUGUCUAUAGUAAAAAUAUCCCGACUAUACAAAAUGGUGUCCCAAAAUGACGCAUAAGAACCAGGCGGCGAACACAACAGGAUCAAGGUCAAAUCCUCUUCAUCGUGCUUAACUUCCAAUGUCUAAUGUCUCAAGAUCUACAACUAUUUCCUUAAACACGGCAAUAUGAUCCUCCAGUGACCCUCAUUUCGCCAAGCGAUGAUAAUACAACUUCUACUUUAGAGCCAGUUUGUUCGUGAAACUUUUAGUCAUGCAUAACUGCUUCAGUUUCAAUCACAAAGUAGUCGAUGUUUUCUCCUUCAAGACAUUCUGUAGAAUAUUGUUGGAUAAAUGAAGAUGGAUCUGCGAUAAAGCCUUCUGAUCCCUUCGUUGUUUCUUUUCUAUUGUCCAAUCAGCUGGCAUCUUCUCAAAACCCAGCAACGCAUCCUCCAAAUCUAACUGCGCCAGAAUAGCCCUCAUCUUUACUUGCCACAAAGAAAACAUUGUAUUGUGAUCUAGCAACGAAAUGUCAUACUUCAUGGUAGUCAUAUCUGAAAAAAAAUCAACCAAUCCACAGAAGAAGAAUCAAGUUCUCAUACCACUCUUUGGACAUGGAUGAAUUGUAAUGAAUGAGAUUAAUGACACAAUAUGAAAUAAUAAAAAUUACAACAAGAAACAAGAUUAAAAGUAAAAAAGACACAAAGAGAGUUAAUCGAAUAGGAACUACAUAUGUUAACUAACAAUAUGGUGAGAAAUUAUAGACACGACAAUAAUGCUUAAACAAAACUGACAGAUGAGCCUUGUAUUUAUAGGCCAUGUUCCAAAUCCUAGAAGAAUCAUAAAAGGUAAGAAAUCUGUUAAAGUUAGGUUACAAUUGGACAUAGAAUUUCGACUGAGAGAUGAUUUUCUUUCCUUAUUCAACUUUGAUUCAAUCUUCCUUUCUAACUAAAAAUCAAAUACGCAAAAUAAAUACUCGAUGACAAGAAAACAUUCAAUUCUUUGCCAAAUUGUCACAUGCAAUCUGUUCUCAAUAACAAAAUAUUUCUAAUUCUUCAUUAAUUUGACUCUAAUAAAAACAUGUUCCACUUCAAAUUUUCGACACACCCCAAAGUUAGAAAGAAAAUUUUAAUUCUAUAAACUUAAUAUGGUGUAUGUGCAAGCAUGAGACAAAUUAGUGAGGAUUCAGACCAUUUCUAUAUGAGGAGAAUGAUUGUACAGCUUUAAUAAAAAGUUUGAGAUUAACUUAUUACUGCUACGAUGGAUAGAGGACUAAUAUUGAAAUUUUCCCAAAUAUUUGAUCACCAGUCUCGAUAAAGACAACUUUUUGGUACUUAUAAAUUGUUCGACUGACAAGGAUGCAAAAUGCUUAAUUGACGUUGAUAGUUGCAUGUAAAAUUUAUUCAUUUUAUGUUUAGACAGGGAGCUUGACUAGAAACACACUAUAUGUACAGCAGGGCCGGCCUUGAAAAUUUAGCGGCCCUAGGCGUAUAAUUAUUAUGGGACCCCUCAGUACAAAAUUUAUUUUACAAAUCUAACAAUAUGUAAAUAUUUAAAUAAUUAACAUUUUUAUAUUAGAAAGAAAACUUUAUACAAUUCAAAAGAUAGAAUAACAAAAUAAAACUUCUUUCACAACUCGAAAGAUUAGGCUAGCAUAAGAUUUAACCUUCUCACAUUUGGAGAUGUAAAAUUAGUAAUCAAACUGCUAAUAUCAAGUUUGUCCAACAUAUUUUUUUCAAUAGAAAUCAUAGCUAAUCCAUUCAAUUACUCUUAUGACAUGAAUGCUCGAAGAUAAGACUUAAUCAACUUCAACUUUGAAAAACUUCUUUUGACAGAGGCAAAUGUGACAGGAAUAGUCAAUAAUACUCUAUAAGCAAUCCAGGCAUUUGCAUAACAACAGUUCAUUUUCUUAAUGUAAUCCAAUGCAUCAAUUGCUCCAAAAAUGUUUGCAGAUAUCACUUCCCUUAAAAUUUUCAAUUCAGAAAAUAGUUCUAUUCCAUCAAUAUCAGAAAUCGUAUUAUGCUUCAAGUAAUUUUCAAGUUUAAUGCAAGAAUACUUCAAAACACCAUCAUCAAUAGAUUUAAAUCUUUUCAAAUCAAACAAAAAUCCAAAAAUAUUAUAAUAUUUCUGAAAUUGCUCAAAUCUAUUCUGAAGUGAUGAUAGAGCUUGAUCCACUAUAUAUAUGAAAUGAUUGAUCUUAAAAGAUUUUUCAGUUGUUUGUGUUAUCUCUUCAGAAGAAGUCUUAUCAAACUGUUUUUUCUAUGUAUAACCCAUUUUUCACGAAAUAUCAGUUCAAUUUCUAAUUUACUUGCAAUCUCUUUAGCAUCAACCAUUGCCAAUUCAAAAUCAGAUUCUCUAUAACUCUUGAAAAAUGAAAUGAUGCCUUUUAAAUGGUCUAUAGCAACAUCAAUAUGUAUGUCUUCUGCUUGUAACUCUGUUAACAUUAUUCAACACUUCAUACCAAAUAAUCAUUCCAAGUAAGAAUUCAAAAUUGUCAAUUUCAUAUGUUGUCAAACACUCCGCCUCUUAGGAUCAUCAACAUUUGCUAAUUGAAGUAAUACUUUUUUUUUUUUAUCUGCGGAGCUUGAAAUCUUAUCGCUCUAACACUUUCAAUAUGACUUUCCCAACGAGUUUGUGACAAGGGCUUAAGGGUAAGACUAGUUACAUUCUCUUUGAAAACUUUCCAUCGUUUAGUAGAUGAAGAAAAUAAAGUAUAUAUACGUUGCACCACCCCAAAGAAAGAUUUAACUUUUGAACAACAAGUGGCCAUAUCACAAAGUGCAAGAUUAAGACUAUGACAUCCACAAGGAAUGUAGAAUGCUCUAGGAUUUAGUUGUAAGACUAUGACAUCCACAAGGAAUGUAGAAUGCUCUAGGAUUUAGUUGUAAUAGUCUACUUUGAACUCCUUUAUGUUGUCCUUUCAUGUUAGCACUAUUAUCAUAGCCUUGAUCCCUUACAUUAUCAAUAUCAAGUUUUAGAUUAUUCAAAGCAUCCACCAAUUCCUCAAAAAGUCCCUUACCUGAUGUAUCAUCCACUAAUAAAAAUCCUAAAAAGAAUUCUUCAAUCUUCACUGGACUUGUCGAAAUAUCUACACACCUCAAUAUCAUUGACAUUUGUUCUUCGUGACUUGUAUCUGGAGUGCAAUCAAGUAUAACAGAAAAGUAUUUAUAAAUUUUGAGUUUCUCAAUGAUUAUUAUUUUUAUCUCGCCGCUAGCAUAAGUAUCAACUCAUUAUGAAUUUUGUGUCCUAUAUAAUGAUAAUGAAUAUCUUUAUUUUUUAUUCGACGAACAUGCUCUUGCAUUACGAGGUCGAACUCAACAAUCAUUUGAAUCAUGCUUAAAAAGAUACCAUUAUUUUCUUGAUAUAUCUUCUCAUUGUCCCCACGAAAUGCUAAAUUAUUCUCAGCAAGAGUUUCCACCACAGAUAUUAUUCUCAAUAAUACUUGUCUCCAGUGUUCUCUAUCUCUAUUGAUUUGUUCUUGCACACUUUUGUCAAUUGUUGUACUCUUUUCAAAUCUUAAUUCCAUUUCUAUCCAUUUACUCAUGUUAUUGAUGUGGUCACAACUUGGUUCAUGCAUUUUAAGUUUUUACCAAUAUUUUUCCAGUCAUUUACUUCAUCAUGUGCCAAUUGGGUUCUGAUCCCAUCAUUCUUAAAUAACUUACAACAAAAGCAAAAUACUUAAUCCAAACUUUUUGAAUAUAUCAACCAUUUUCUAUCAUACUUCUCUCCAUUAGGUAAUCGUCGAACGUAAUGUGUGGAUGAGAAGUGUCGAUUUGCUCCAUCUUUUGAAAAAAUCAUAUCAUUUUCUCUUACAGGACCUUUCAUUACAAUUAAAUCUAUUAAAUUCGUAUUCAUAUUUCCCCAAUUUGCUGGAUCAACAAGGUCAACAGAAAAUGGUUCAUUAUCUUUGUCAGUAGAUAUCUCUUCAUUCAUCACACAAUGUCCUUCUUCAAUUAUAUUAUUAUUGUUGUCAUUCUCAUUUAACACUUCUUCAGUAGCUAUGUCAUCGUUGUGUGUUCAUUUACUACUACCAAAAAACUUAUCAAGUGCUCUCUCUUGAGAUUUAAUCAACUUUUCAAUCUUUUCCUUCCUUUUUCUUUUGGCACAUCCAAAUUCAAAUUUUCUCGUAGACAUAAUAACAAGUAAAGAGCGAUAAAACCUGAAUGAUGAGUCCCAAAAUGAAAUGAUUCAGAAAUUGGUGGUCGCGGUGGUGAUUGAAGUAGACAAUGCUGCUGUAAGAUGAUAUAGAACAUAAUUGAGCACUUUUAUUCAAAAAAUAUGGAACAUAAUUAGAGCAAUUUUAUCCAAAUUAAAUUCAAAGAAAAAAGACAUAAGAUGAUAAGAAAAUGAACUAAAUAACUAAUAAGAUGUACUUUCACAGACAUGUAUCUAUAGAGAGGCAACCCACAAUGAAUUUUGGAAAGUACUUUUCCGUCUAUCUGUA
RNAcentral lists this long non-coding RNA (6249 nucleotides) under Olea europaea subsp. europaea. Lineage: Eukaryota; Viridiplantae; Streptophyta; Magnoliopsida; Lamiales; Oleaceae. The record is from RNAcentral.